Molecule: ribosomal RNA, 313 nt
Filed under: uncultured Anaerolineaceae bacterium
Lineage: Bacteria; Bacillati; Chloroflexota; Anaerolineae; Anaerolineales; Anaerolineaceae
Description: bacterial SSU rRNA
Rfam family: Bacterial small subunit ribosomal RNA
Source: RNAcentral
UCAGCUCGUGUCGUGAGAUGUUCGGUUAAGUCCGCUAACGAGCGCAACCCUCGCUGUGUGUUAUAUGUGUCACACAGGACUGCUGGUAUUAAGCCGGAGGAAGGUGGGACGACGUCAAGUCAGCAUGACCUUUAUAUCCAGGGCUACACACACGCUACAAUGGUCAGUACAAUGGGUUGCCAAGCCGCGAGGCGGAGCCAAUCCUAAAAAGCUGGCCUCAGUUCAGAUUGCAGUCUGAAACUCGACUGCAUGAAGUCGGAGUUGCUAGUAAACGCAGGUCAGCUAUACUGCGUUGAAUACGUUCCCGGGGCUU